This 108-nucleotide ribosomal RNA is filed under the name Bacteroidales bacterium. Lineage: Bacteria; Pseudomonadati; Bacteroidota; Bacteroidia; Bacteroidales. The record is from RNAcentral.
GAUAGCAUCUAUAGAGUCAUGAAUAAACCCCUUCCCAUCCCGAACAGAAAAGUUAAAGAUGAUAUCGCCGAUGGUACUAUGAAAAUGGGAGAGUAGGUAAUGCCAACA